UGGUUCAGGACGAACGCUGGCGGCGUGCCUAAUACAUGCAAGUCGAACGCUUUUUCUUUCACCGGAGCUUGCUCCACCGAAAGAAAAAGAGUGGCGAACGGGUGAGUAACACGUGGGUAACCUGCCCAUCAGAAGGGGAUAACACUUGGAAACAGGUGCUAAUACCGUAUAACACUAUUUUCCGCAUGGAAGAAAGUUGAAAGGCGCUUUUGUGUCACUGAUGGAUGGACCCGCGGUGCAUUAGCUAGUUGGUGAGGUAACGGCUCACCAAGGCCACGAUGCAUAGCCGACCUGAGAGGGUGAUCGGCCACACUGGGACUGAGACACGGCCCAGACUCCUACGGGAGGCAGCAGUAGGGAAUCUUCGGCAAUGGACGAAAGUCUGACCGAGCAACGCCGCGUGAGUGAAGAAGGUUUUCGGAUCGUAAAACUCUGUUGUUAGAGAAGAACAAGGAUGAGAGUAAAACGUUCAUCCCUUGACGGUAUCUAACCAGAAAGCCACGGCUAACUACGUGCCAGCAGCCGCGGUAAUACGUAGGUGGCAAGCGUUGUCCGGAUUUAUUGGGCGUAAAGCGAGCGCAGGCGGUUUCUUAAGUCUGAUGUGAAAGCCCCCGGCUCAACCGGGGAGGGUCAUUGGAAACUGGGAGACUUGAGUGCAGAAGAGGAGAGUGGAAUUCCAUGUGUAGCGGUGAAAUGCGUAGAUAUAUGGAGGAACACCAGUGGCGAAGGCGGCUCUCUGGUCUGUAACUGACGCUGAGGCUCGAAAGCGUGGGGAGCGAACAGGAUUAGAUACCCUGGUAGUCCACGCCGUAAACGAUGAGUGCUAAGUGUUGGAGGGUUUCCGCCCUUCAGUGCUGCAGCAAACGCAUUAAGCACUCCGCCUGGG
RNAcentral lists this ribosomal RNA (886 nucleotides) under Enterococcus gallinarum. Its description in RNAcentral is "bacterial SSU rRNA". It matches the Rfam family "Bacterial small subunit ribosomal RNA", at positions 20 to 877 of the family's 1533-position model. Lineage: Bacteria; Bacillati; Bacillota; Bacilli; Lactobacillales; Enterococcaceae. The record is from RNAcentral.